AUGAUCCCUGCAAGCAUUGGGAACAUGACGUACCUGAGCACCCUCGCCCUUCAGCACAACCAGUUCGAUGGCGGAAUUCCGGCGCAGCUGGGCAACACUUCGCGGCUCAUUUCGUUCAAUGUCGCCGACAAGUCACUAUCAGGUCCUGUCGCAGACUCUCUGCAGCGCUUCCCACAAGCCAACUUCACGGGCUAUCCGGGGCUCCGCGGGGUGCCACUGGACAACAGGUGCAAGAAGAGGUUUAUGGUGCGGAUACAUGUUCGGCUUGUCCUGAUCCGGGAGAUGUUCGUCCGGAUUCGGAAGCUAUUGCACAGGAUCAACGACGCGUCCAUCAUCGGGGCGUCGGCUGGGUUCAUCUUUCGGUUCGUGGUGGCCUUCUAG
RNAcentral lists this ribosomal RNA (381 nucleotides) under Triticum aestivum (bread wheat). RNAcentral's name for it is "partial small subunit ribosomal RNA". The record is from RNAcentral. Lineage: Eukaryota; Viridiplantae; Streptophyta; Magnoliopsida; Poales; Poaceae.